GGAGGGUGCGAGCGUUAAUCGGAAUUACUGGGCGUAAAGCGCGCGCAGGCGGCUGGGUCAGUCGGAUGUGAAAGCCCCGGGCUUAACCUGGGAAUUGCAUUCGAUACUGCCCGGCUAGAGUAUGGGAGAGGGAAGUGGAAUUUCCGGUGUAGCGGUGAAAUGCGUAGAUAUCGGAAGGAACACCAGUGGCGAAGGCGGCUUCCUGGCCCAAUACUGACGCCAGGUGCGAAAGCGUGGGGAGCGAACAGGAUUAGAUACCCUGGUAGUCCACGCUGUAACGAUGAGAACUAGAUGUUGGAGGGUUUGCUCUCAGUGUCGCAGCUAACGCGUUAAGUUCUCGCCUGGGAGUACACCGCAAGGUUG
Molecule: ribosomal RNA, 363 nt
Filed under: uncultured organism
Description: partial 16S ribosomal RNA
Rfam family: Bacterial small subunit ribosomal RNA
Source: RNAcentral